UGGGGAAUAUUGCACAAUGGGCGAAAGCCUGAUGCAGCGACGCCGCGUGAGGGAUGACGGCCUUCGGGUUGUAAACCUCUUUCAGUAGGGACGAAGCGCAAGUGACGGUACCUACAGAAGAAGCACCGGCCAACUACGUGCCAGCAGCCGCGGUAAUACGUAGGGUGCGAGCGUUGUCCGGAUUUACUGGGCGUAAAGAGCUCGUAGGCGGUUUGUCACGUCGUCUGUGAAAACCCGAGGCUUAACCUCGGGCCUGCAGGCGAUACGGGCAGACUUGAGUACUGUAGGGGAGACUGGAAUUCCUGGUGUAGCGGUGGAAUGCGCAGAUAUCAGGAGGAACACCGGUGGCGAAGGCGGGUCUCUGGGCAGUAACUGACGCUGAGGAGCGAAAGCGUGGGUAGCGAACAGG
RNAcentral lists this ribosomal RNA (409 nucleotides) under bacterium. RNAcentral describes it as "partial 16S ribosomal RNA". It matches the Rfam family "Bacterial small subunit ribosomal RNA", at positions 355 to 776 of the family's 1533-position model. RNAcentral also lists the same sequence under 5 other names. The record is from RNAcentral.